This 465-nucleotide ribosomal RNA is filed under the name uncultured bacterium. RNAcentral's name for it is "partial 16S ribosomal RNA". It matches the Rfam family "Bacterial small subunit ribosomal RNA", at positions 339 to 795 of the family's 1533-position model. The record is from RNAcentral.
CUACGGGUCGCUCCAGUGGGGAAUAUUGGACAAUGGGGGAAACCCUGAUCCAGCAAUGCCGCGUGUGUGAAGAAGGCCUGCGGGUUGUAAAGCACUUUCGGUUGGGAGGACUGCUUCUAGCACUAAUAUUGUUGGAAGUUGACGUUACCUUCAGAAGAAGCACCGGCUAACUCCGUGCCAGCAGCCGCGGUAAUACGGAGGGUGCAAGCGUUAAUCGGAAUUACUGGGCGUAAAGCGCGCGUAGGCGGCUAGAUCAGUCGGGUGUGAAAGCCCCGGGCUUAACCUGGGAACUGCAUCCGAUACUGUCUAGCUUGAGUACAGGAGAGGAGAGUGGAAUUCCACAUGUAGCGGUGAAAUGCGUAGAUAUGUGGAGGAACACCAAUGGCGAAGGCAGCUCUCUGGCCUGAUACUGACGCUGAGGUGCGAAAGCGUGGGGAGUAAACAGGAUUAGAUACCCGUGUAGUC